This 22-nucleotide transfer RNA is filed under the name Acanthurus thompsoni (Thompson's surgeonfish). RNAcentral describes it as "partial tRNA-Pro". The record is from RNAcentral. Lineage: Eukaryota; Metazoa; Chordata; Actinopteri; Acanthuriformes; Acanthuridae.
AGUAUUCUUCAUUAAACUACUC